Molecule: ribosomal RNA, 397 nt
Filed under: Pseudomonas sp. 4CBE
Lineage: Bacteria; Pseudomonadati; Pseudomonadota; Gammaproteobacteria; Pseudomonadales; Pseudomonadaceae
Description: bacterial SSU rRNA
Rfam family: Bacterial small subunit ribosomal RNA
Source: RNAcentral
UGAUCCAGCCAUGCCGCGUGUGUGAAAAGGUCUUCGGAUUGUAAAGCACUUUAAGUUGGGAGGAAGGGCAUUAACCUAAUACGUUAGUGUUUUGACGUUACCGACAGAAUAAGCACCGGCUAACUCUGUGCCAGCAGCCGCGGUAAUACAGAGGGUGCAAGCGUUAAUCGGAAUUACUGGGCGUAAAGCGCGCGUAGGUGGUUUGUUAAGUUGGAUGUGAAAGCCCCGGGCUCAACCUGGGAACUGCAUCCAAAACUGGCAAGCUAGAGUACGGUAGAGGGUGGUGGAAUUUCCUGUGUAGCGGUGAAAUGCGUAGAUAUAGGAAGGAACACCAGUGGCGAAGGCGACCACCUGGACUGAUACUGACACUGAGGUGCGAAAGCGUGGGGAGCAAACA